CACGUAGGGUGCGAGCGUUGUCCGGAAUUAUUGGGCGUAAAGGGCUCGUAGGCGGUUUGUCGCGUCGGGAGUGAAAACCCAGGGCUUAACUCUGGGCUUGCUUUCGAUACGGGCAGACUAGAGGCAUGCAGGGGAGAACGGAAUUCCUGGUGUAGCGGUGAAAUGCGCAGAUAUCAGGAGGAACACCGGUGGCGAAGGCGGUUCUCUGGGCAUGUCCUGACGCUGAGGCGCGAAAGCCAGGGGAGCAAACGGG
RNAcentral lists this ribosomal RNA (253 nucleotides) under uncultured bacterium. Its description in RNAcentral is "partial 16S ribosomal RNA". It matches the Rfam family "Bacterial small subunit ribosomal RNA", at positions 524 to 776 of the family's 1533-position model. The record is from RNAcentral.